This 405-nucleotide ribosomal RNA is filed under the name uncultured bacterium. Its description in RNAcentral is "bacterial SSU rRNA". It matches the Rfam family "Bacterial small subunit ribosomal RNA", at positions 29 to 416 of the family's 1533-position model. The record is from RNAcentral.
AACGAACGCUGGCGGCGUGCCUAACACAUGCAAGUCGAGCGAGAAAGGGGGAGGCAAUCCCCUGAGUACAGCGGCGCACGGGUGAGUAACACGUAGGUGAUCUCCCUCGAGCCCGGAAUAACCUACCGAAAGGUGGGCUAAUACCGGAUAUGACCACGGGAGUUUCGGCUCCUGUGGUGAAAGAUGGCCUCUACCUGUAAGCUAUCACUCAAGGAUGAGCCUGCGUGCCAUUAGCUAGUUGGUGAGGUAAUGGCUCACCAAGGCUAUGAUGGCUAGCUGGUCUGAGAGGAUGGCCAGCCACACUGGGACUGAAACACGGCCCAGACUCCUACGGGAGCAGCAGUGGGGAUAUUGCGCAAGUGGGCGAAAGCCUGACGCAGCGACGCCGCGUGGGUGAUGAAGGCC